ACGUAGGUGGCAAGCGUUGUCCGGAAUUAUUGGGCGUAAAGCGCGCGCAGGCGGUCCUUUAAGUCUGAUGUGAAAGCCCACGGCUCAACCGUGGAGGGUCAUUCGAUACUGAUCGACUUGAAGGCAGGAGAGGGAAGCGGAAUUCCCGGUGUAGUGGUGAAAUGCGUAGAUAUCGGGAGGAACACCAGUGGCGAAGGCGGCUUCCUGGCCUGUUCUUGACGCUGAGGCGCGAAAGCUAGGGGAGCGAACGGGA
Molecule: ribosomal RNA, 253 nt
Filed under: uncultured prokaryote
Description: partial 16S ribosomal RNA
Rfam family: Bacterial small subunit ribosomal RNA
Source: RNAcentral